RNAcentral lists this long non-coding RNA (2973 nucleotides) under Equus asinus (donkey). Its description in RNAcentral is "lncRNA (ENSEASG00005024729.1)". Lineage: Eukaryota; Metazoa; Chordata; Mammalia; Perissodactyla; Equidae. The record is from RNAcentral.
UUAUGGAACGUGCUUUCGGGGGUCUAAUGCCCGACGGCAUCAGCGCAGGGGCGAGCAGAGGGGCUGGGGGCGCGCGCCAGGGCGCUGCCGGAUUAGAGAAGACGUCAGAGGGGCGCGGGGCGCCCGGGUCUUUUAGCGCUUCCCCACCCCUCAUCCCCCGCUUCCGAGGAAAGCAGUGAGGACUGUCCCGGGAGGCGGACUUUAGGUCUUUUAGGCGUAUGUGAAAGGGAAAGAUGCCCUCGAAUGUCCUGACUUCUGGGUGGGAAAAAGGGACUCAGUACCAAGCCACUGAACUUCAUACAUCUGUCUAGUAAGGGGAAUUGCGAGCUCUGUGUUCAGAGGAAGCGCUGCUCCGAAACGCAUCACUCACCCCCAAAUCAGAGUCGCCGGGCCUGGAGAGAAUGACCUCAACCCCCGCGAGCCGCCAUUCUCAGAGCUGCUUUUUUGGGCAUACAGGGAGGCACCUGGGGAGAGAAGCCAGCGCCUGGGCAGGAAAUACAUCCCCCUUCCCACCAUCCCUAGUGGGCGGACAAACCCUCCCCGAGCGGGUGAAGAGACAAGGGAAGGAGAGGAAAGUUCCAGGAUGCAAGGGGGAGGGCGAGGAGAAGGAAGGGAACCUGGCAAGCAAGGAAAAAGAAAAGCAAACAGGAAGAGAGAGAGAAGACGGUAGUGAAAAGAGAGAAGAUGGGAAGGGGGGGGGGUGGGUGGCAGCUGGUGGGCAUUACCGCUUUCCGGCAGAAGGGGGCACCUUUCUGGCCGAGACAGUCUUCCACUGGGCUGGGGAGGAUGCCUAGGCAGAGACGCCCUCCGGCCCGGCACCAGGGUGCUGGGCGCCCCCUCCUGGCGGCUGCGCGGCCGCUCUGUGCUGUCCCGCGGGUGUUCCUGACCAGCGACUGCUCUGCCCGCGGCGACGGGGAGGAAACGUUCCUUUCCAAACGGCAUGGACUUUUGGACACUUCCACACUAAGACAACUACUUCAGCCAGAACGUGGGACAGGCGCUCACAGGAUGUCACCCUUGAGGAUAAAUACUCGCUAGUUUCCGGUGAACGGUGGAAAAGGAAGCGGCUGGGGUGAGGGAGGCUCAUCCUCGCAUAUUUAACCUGGGGAAGGAGAGAAUAAUUGGAAGGUGGGGAGGAUAGGAAAUGUGGUUGCUCCUCUCCCAUCCUUUCAUUUCAGAUCUUUCCAAUGUUUUUAUAUCUUUCACUUAAAAAAAUCAUUCCCCUUUCCUGAGUUUGGAUGAGGCUGGGGAGCAAACUUCCCAAAAAAGGAAGGUGAUGAAUAUGGGAGAGGGCCAAGGGAGAUGUUCAGGGAACUCAAACUCUCCAGCUUCCACCUAUUUCUGAGGGAAAUGCCAUCAGCCAUGGGUUUUAGCCCAAUGUAAGGGGAGCUGAUUGGGUGUAUGGGCGGUGGUGGGAGGUCUGAAUUAAGGGAAAGAAAGAAAGAAAGGCAGACCCUCUCCCACCCCAAGGCAUUAAAAGACACCCCCUCCCCCAGCUGUCUUGUGUCCGGCAGAAUGGCAUUAUGUAAAAAAUCUGGCACGUCACCCAGUGGCACAUCUGGUAGGUGUAGAUGGCAUUCAUUAGCACAGGGUUUCUACUCUGCUGCAUGCCAAAGCCCUGACAGAGAUGCCCGCUGCCAAUCAUUCACUCGCUGCCAAUCCCAGAGCGCGGCCUGGCGGGAUGGCUCCCUUCCACCCUGGCACUGGGACUGGAGGAAACAAUGUGUUGAGAUAGGAGGAGACGAAAGCGGAGCUGAAGAUGCGAGGCACCCAACAGAUGUAUCCAGUGAAGAGAUAACGGUGCGAAGAUUCAUUUAGCAAGAAAGCAUAUGCAGGAUCGCAGGAGGGAGGCUUGGGCAGGGGUCUGCCUACCUAGGGCUGAGCUGGGGGAGGGGCAGGGGAUCCCCUUCAGAAACCUCAAAGUUGAAGUUGCUUCUCUAAAAACACACAAAGACCAUUCUCCCCAACCCUAACUCUAAGACCUCCUCUCUCUCUCCCUGCCCCCAAUAUGUGCCUCUGCUUAACUUACUAGCUCUGAAAAGAUGAACUACUCUGCCCUCCUCAAGACUUUCUGAUUACCAACAUAAAGAGCACCUUCCUGUCUUUAAAGCUGCAUCAUUCUCUUUGCCUUGUAAUUUGAGGAGGGAGGGAGGGAGGGUGUCAGGCUAUCUUUACUGCAUUUUAAAAUGUAAAGUGUGCCGGGACUGAGUUGCAUAUAUUAAUAAUAUGGAUAAAAAAAAGAACGUAUAGGUCUAUUUCAAUUCCUAGCCUUUCAGAGGGGAUAAAGACAAACAAAGGAAAGCAAAGGAAUUAUUAAAAUGGCAAAGGAUGGAUAAAAGUAAAAUCUAUGUUAGAGGUUGUCUCUGACGUUAUGCUUUUUCUUAGGCUGAAUGGUGGUUACCUAGGUAGUCGGUGGUGUAUCGUUUUUAUUUAUGCCAUGCACAUAUUUUAUAAAAAUUCUUUUUAUCCAUUGGAUAUUUAAUGAAACAACAAAACUCAGAGGUUUGAGGAUCUGUGGAACUCAGUGUUUAAGUUGGGUCUCACAGCUUUUUAUUGAGUAUACAUGUAGAUAUAUGUAAAAUUACAAUAAUCAUUUUAGUGUAAGUAUAUACUAUGAAGUGUCUGAGGCAUGCUUAUACUGGCUCGUGGUCACAAGAUGGCUAUUAUAAUUCCAGGCAUCACACCAUUGUUCUAACCAUGAAAAAAUGGACAGGAGCAAAGAAAAGUAAUUCUUUUCUUUUAUCAGUGAAGGAAAUACUUUGACUUUUCACUAGCCAGACCUGGGUCACUUGGCCACAGAUCCUUGCAAAGGAGUCUGGGAGAACUAGCCUUUAAAGUGUCAAAAGAUAGGGAUAAGCGGACUGGGAGCAGGUUGUUGAAUUGCAAGCAAGGAUGUCUGCCAAAAAACUGAGGGCAAAGAAGACAAUGUUAGCACCAGGCAAGAGCACAUUAUCAAGUUUUACCAUUGUUGUA